AAUUCGGUUUAGGACAUGAUUUUGGAGUCAAAAGCCCUGCAGUGUGCAAAACGCACGAGCUCAUGUCAAGCAAGGAUAUGUAAAAGACUCAUAUAUCAAUAUCCUAUCCUCUCAGUCUCACAGAAGACAAAGCACAAAGGCAAAAUACAUGUUUCAUAUAACUUUUAGCUCUAUCUACUACACCCAUAAUGCUCCAAAACCUCAAUGAUUUGUCAUUUAAGACCUUAUAAACUAUCAAUGCAGAUGAAGUGUUUUUAUACAAAUUAUAAAACCAGAACUGCACUGCACAGAAUGCAUUAUGUUAAAACCGGUCUUUUAUUUAAAAUAAAGUACAAAUGCAUGUAGUAUGGAUAACAGUAUAAUUUGUUAAAUCCUAUAAGAUUGUGAAAAAAAUCCUGGCUUAUUAAAUUACCGUAGUUUUUAUUCAUCUGUAUUUCUCGUAAUACACAAAAUAUAGGGCAUUUAUUCCAAAAAUAAAAAUGCUCGUAUGGAGUCAACAUUAGUUUUUGGACUAAAAAUCUUACCAUAACUUUAGAGUAAGUUUAUAUUUUACACGUUUCAGGAUAAGUACAUAAAUACUAACCACUGAGAUUGAGACUGUAACGAGCCACUUUGCCUGUGUGGGGUCGUGACUGGCUUAAUUCAACCCGUAGCUCAGCGGUUUAGAAGGUUCUUCAAACCAGGACUCAUCACACUACCCGGUGGUAGUGAUGCGCGAGAUAUUUAUCUUAAACCCUCCCUACCUGGUUGUCUUCCUCGCUAGGAACAACCCCAUUCCUCGGCUUCUUUUCCUUACCACUUCUUCCCCAUUUCCCCUUCACUCUCUCAUUCAUUUAGAAAUAAAACUUAAGCCAUCAUCUUCAUGGUUUUAGGCUUCAUAAAAAAUCCAUAUCGUUCCUAUUUAAAUAACAAAAUAUUUUAUCGAAAUAUUUAAAAUUUAAAGGGCUUUAAUCUUAAUUCAUUAACGCCCGAUGUCUUGACAAAGUUCUAGCCCUUAAAAUUCGGUUUAGUGAAAUUUUAGAACUCAUUUCAGUUCUACGUCAUUUCUUCACCAAGUUCUAACGCGUUAGAACUUCGAUUUAGAACUUUGUUAUAGUUAGAACUUCGAUAAAAUUAGACCCUCAAAUUCGGGGAUCUAGUGCCUUAAAACUCGGUUUAAUUUUAAUUUCGUUUUUUCAACGAGCGAAAUGAAAAUUAAUUGAAUUUCUAAUCAUUUUCGGAAAAUAUAUUAAAAGACAAUAAAAAGCGAAUAACCUACGAAAAUGGAUCUUAUUUUAUAAUGAUUUCCUUUUUAUGGACGAUAUCCUGGAAGAACGGCGUAUUUAUCGAAUGCCAAUACGUGCAACAAUUAACACAUGGGACGACACCGAUUUUUUUCGGCGCUUCCGUUUAACAAAACAAACGUUUUUAACUGUCCUUCAACUAGUGGCAACAUCCGCAACCACGGACUCGUUAUACAUUGGAAGAACAACAAUUGCUGAUUUGUCUGCGUUUCUUGGCUUGUGGAAAUAUGCAACUAACUGUUGCCGAUGUCGUGCAUGUGUCUCCUACGAGCGUUUGUCGUAUACUCCCAAAAGUUUGUAACGCAUUGUUACGUCACCUACACUCUUUAGUCAAAAUGCCGGCAAAUGCAGAAGAACUAAGAGCAGCUGCUGUAGCUUUUUAUGAUAUUGGGCGAUUUCCACGAACAAUUGGAAAAUACAAUUGACGGGUGGAGAAUUGAAUGAGGCUUUUCGAAAUCGGAAAGUUUGGUUCUCGCUUAAUGUGCAAACCAUUUCAACUGCCAAUUUAAAGGUUUUGAAUGUAGUCGCACGUUGGGCAUCUGUGCGACAAGAAUUUGAACAGGGCGGUAUGGACAAUAUAUUCUUGUUGGUGAUUCUGGGUAUGCAAAUACCAGCUAUUUGGCAACCCUUUACACAACAACCCGGAUAUUGCCAAUAAUCAACGGAUGCAAGUUUACCAAUCCCGCAUCAUCCGAACACGUAAUGUAGUUGAACGUCAAUACGGAGUACUAAAACGUCGUUUCCCCGUUUUGGCCUACGGCAUGCGCAUGAACAUUGAAACUAUUCAGAAAAUUAUUACAUCGUGUUGCAUUCUACAUAACAUUUGUAUCGAGAGGGGCGAAAUGAUUCUACCGGAAAAUCCUGACGAUGAGGAGCUUUUGAAAACGGGCAUAGUAGAAGGAGAUAUAGAGAAUGGGCCAGUGGGAGUUGAAGGUGGUCAGCAUCGAAGUCGUCGAUCAGUUCGCGAAGAUAUUUUGGCAACAUUGUGAA
This is a long non-coding RNA of Eupeodes corollae, 2273 nucleotides long. RefSeq lists it as uncharacterized. Lineage: Eukaryota; Metazoa; Arthropoda; Insecta; Diptera; Syrphidae. The transcript has 3 exons. The record is from RefSeq and is a predicted model, not a curated record.